This is a long non-coding RNA of Pezoporus flaviventris, 862 nucleotides long. RefSeq lists it as uncharacterized. The transcript has 3 exons. NCBI's taxonomy places the organism in Eukaryota, Metazoa, Chordata, Aves, Psittaciformes, Psittacidae. The record is from RefSeq and is a predicted model, not a curated record.
CAUCCAUCCGUUACUGAAGGAAAAAAUAAAUUAAGAAUCUUGUUAGACUGUUAGGUUCUGAUUCAUUAAUAGUGGCUAUACUAUGUGUUUGGCUGUUAACUGAGAGAAAAUGAAGGUCCAUGAGAGAGCUGUGUAUCGGCUGCCAAUGACUGAGUACAAAAUGGGUGUCAUGUCUGCAGACAGGCAGAUUCUUUUCAGGCAGAAGUGAAAUUCACUCACCAGAUGCACCAUAAGGAUAAUGAAAGUGGAUCUAGACACAUGUCUACCAGGCAGUGAACUGACACCAUCGAUCCAUUUGGCUGAAAAUGAAGUCCAUGAACAAAAGCUGCCUGGGCUGGGCUGCACACCAAGGUUUGUGGUUUAGCUCCACCAUCUCUGAUUUCCCUCAUGCAUGCGAAGAGGAAUGCCUGUGAUUGAAGAAGGCAAGAAGGUCUUGUGGCUAAGGUGUCCUUUUCAUGAAGAGAGAGGCAAGAAAACACAUCCUUCUAAAGCACCUAAGGCCAGGAUCAACUUCUGUUCACAGGCAUAGACACACCGUUUUCUUUGUAUCCAACAGGAGCUGCUUAUAUAUCUAAAGAUAGCCCCUAGGCUCUACAAGUUUGAAAACUUCCCAGCCAAGGAGUGAAUGUUUCUCUCCUCUCAGUUUUUAUCAUUCACUGACUAUCCUCCAAAUACAUCCUUUGUUAAUUUGAAAGCCUUGAGAGAAGGCCUGGGAGCAAUCCACCUUUCUGGAAUGCGUUGAUGGUAACUUUCUUCUCCAUGUGACAGAGGAGCCAACCAGAAGUGCAGUGCUGGACCUUGUUCUCACCAGCAAGAAAAGGCUGGAGGUGAAUGUGAAGCUCAAGGGGCAACCUUGGUGGAG